GAGGGUAUACCUCAGUGGUAGAGUAUGUGCUUAACAUGCACGAGGUCCUGGGUUCAAUCCCCAGUACCUUCA
This 72-nucleotide transfer RNA is filed under the name Camelus bactrianus (Bactrian camel). It matches the Rfam family "tRNA". From Rfam's summary of the family: Transfer RNA (tRNA) molecules are approximately 80 nucleotides in length. Their secondary structure includes four short double-helical elements and three loops (D, anti-codon, and T loops). Lineage: Eukaryota; Metazoa; Chordata; Mammalia; Artiodactyla; Camelidae. RNAcentral also lists the same sequence under 3 other names. The record is from Rfam by way of RNAcentral.